AUUGGUCAAUCGGACGAAAGUCUGAACCAGCCAAGUAGCGUGCAGGAUGACGGCCCUAUGGGUUGUAAACUGCUUUUAUACAGGGGAUAAAGUGCACGUACCGUGUAGUGUUUUGUAGGUACUGUAUGAAUAAGGACCGGCUAAUUCCGUG
Molecule: ribosomal RNA, 151 nt
Filed under: uncultured bacterium
Lineage: Bacteria
Description: partial 16S ribosomal RNA
Rfam family: Bacterial small subunit ribosomal RNA
Source: RNAcentral